AUGACUAAAAUGAGAUUCUUCUUUAAAAUGCACGUCUCUUGGAAAAUAUCUUCUUCAACACUUUACAAACAGCUCUGGCUUGCACCACCCACCAAGAGCAUUGCUGGUUGUCUGCUGAUCAUCCAGCUUGAAUAUCCAAGAGCUGUAUUCAACAACAUAGUCCACAGCCUCUUCCCAGUGUCAUUCAGGAGCUCAUGGUCUGUCUGCCCUGAUGUUCCUGAUAUUGAUACAGAUGCUUCUUCUACCUAG
This 249-nucleotide long non-coding RNA is filed under the name Numida meleagris (helmeted guineafowl). RNAcentral describes it as "lncRNA (ENSNMEG00000005516.1)". Lineage: Eukaryota; Metazoa; Chordata; Aves; Galliformes; Numididae. The record is from RNAcentral.